UGCCCGUGACGUCGCGAGAAGUCCACUGAACCUUAUCAUUUAGAGGAAGGAGAAGUCGUAACAAGGUUUCCGUAGGUGAACCUGCGGAAGGAUCAUUGUCGAGACCUGCCCAGCAGAAAGACCCGCGAAC
This 130-nucleotide ribosomal RNA is filed under the name Ficus lepicarpa. Its description in RNAcentral is "partial 18S ribosomal RNA". The stretch from base 1 to 98 matches the Rfam family "Eukaryotic small subunit ribosomal RNA", at positions 1734 to 1831 of the family's 1831-position model. Lineage: Eukaryota; Viridiplantae; Streptophyta; Magnoliopsida; Rosales; Moraceae. The record is from RNAcentral.